CGCACAUUGCGCUCCUCGGUAGCCCGGGGAGCAUGCCUGUUCGAGCGUCAUUUCAGACCAUCAAGCAUCAGCUUGGCGUUGGGCUAUAUUUACUCACUAAUCACUAGCGGGUAGGCCCUAAAUUGAAUGGCGGCGCGAGCCGAGCCUCAAGCGUAGUAGAACUUUUUAUCCCGCUUCAGAAGGCCUCGGUGAGAGCUCGCCUCUAAUGUUUCUUUCCGCAUUGGAAGGAUAUCUCAAAGGUUGACCUCGGAUCAGACAAGGGUACCCGCUGAACUUAA
Molecule: unclassified non-coding RNA, 278 nt
Filed under: Lecanographa sp.
Lineage: Eukaryota; Fungi; Ascomycota; Arthoniomycetes; Arthoniales; Lecanographaceae
Description: partial contains 5.8S ribosomal RNA, internal transcribed spacer 2, and large subunit ribosomal RNA
Source: RNAcentral